Molecule: non-coding RNA, 125 nt
Organism: Triticum urartu
Lineage: Eukaryota; Viridiplantae; Streptophyta; Magnoliopsida; Poales; Poaceae
Source: Rfam
GUUGUACUCCCUCCGUCCGGAAAUACUUAUCCUAGAAAUGGCUGUAUCUAGACUUAUUUUAGUUAUAGAUACAUCCAUUUUCAACCAUCUCUAAGACAAGUAUUUCCGGAUGGAGGGAGUAUGAC